UACGAAGGGGGCUAGCGUUGCUCGGAAUCACUGGGCGUAAAGCGCACGUAGGCGGACUUUUAAGUCAGGGGUGAAAUCCUGGAGCUCAACUCCAGAACUGCCUUUGAUACUGGAAGUCUUGAGUCCGGAAGAGGUAAGUGGAACUGCGAGUGUAGAGGUGAAAUUCGUAGAUAUUCGCAAGAACACCAGUGGCGAAGGCGGCUUACUGGUCCGGUACUGACGCUGAGGUGCGAAAGCGUGGAGAGCAAACAGG
This 253-nucleotide ribosomal RNA is filed under the name uncultured bacterium. Its description in RNAcentral is "partial 16S ribosomal RNA". It matches the Rfam family "Bacterial small subunit ribosomal RNA", at positions 524 to 776 of the family's 1533-position model. The record is from RNAcentral.